UGAGUAACCUGCCCUUAACUCUGGGAUAAGCCUGGGAAACUGGGUCUAAUACCGGAUAUGACUCCUCAUCGCAUGGUGGGGGGUGGAAAGCUUUAUUGUGGUUUUGGAUGGACUCGCGGCCUAUCAGCUUGUUGGUGAGGUAAUGGCUCACCAAGGCGACGACAGGUAGCCGGCCUGAGAGGGUGACCGGCCACACUGGGACUGAGACACGGCCCAGACCUCCGUACGGGAGGCAG
RNAcentral lists this ribosomal RNA (236 nucleotides) under uncultured bacterium. Its description in RNAcentral is "partial 16S ribosomal RNA". It matches the Rfam family "Bacterial small subunit ribosomal RNA", at positions 118 to 351 of the family's 1533-position model. The record is from RNAcentral.